RNAcentral lists this ribosomal RNA (204 nucleotides) under uncultured bacterium. RNAcentral's name for it is "partial 16S ribosomal RNA". It matches the Rfam family "Bacterial small subunit ribosomal RNA", at positions 524 to 726 of the family's 1533-position model. The record is from RNAcentral.
UACGUAGGGUGCAAGCGUUGUCCGGAAUUAUUGGGCGUAAAGAGCUCGUAGGCGGUCUGUCACGUCGGCUGUGAAAACCCGAGGCUCAACCUCGGGCUUGCAGUCGAUACGGGCAGACUAGAGUUCGGUAGGGGAGACUGGAAUUCCUGGUGUAGCGGUGAAAUGCGCAGAAUAUCAGGAGGAACACCGGUGGCGAAGGCGGGU